GUCUGGGGAAUUCUGACCAGAAACAUGGGUCCAUCAGCCUGGGCAAGAAUGAGAUGGAAUUUCCAGAGGACACAGUUAAAUGACUAUGGUCAGGAUGGAGCAGAGCUACUACUGAAAGGGCUGACUGUGGCUGAUUUUCGAGAGGGGACACAGAAAGUGAUGCAUGGUGAAGAGCCACCACCUUGGUGAAGGACAAAGAGAGAAAAUGCUGUGUUGAGGUGAGAAACACAAAGUGAAUAAGACAUAUGGUCUAUUCUAGAGCUGACUAUGACUGAUUGAUGGCCCAGGACCACAAGCUCAGCUAACAACACACACCGUGUUCCAACAUGUCAAGUUUCUUGAAAUUUCUGUAGCAACAGAAUAAAGAAAGUCAUAGAUCAAGGUACUCUUGAAAUGCAUUGGUGACAAUGUGGGGCAGGAAGAUACGUCAAAAUGGGGACUACAAGCUUUCUGAUGCUGUCUGAUUAUAGUCUACCUUUGGAGUAGUGAGCCAAUGGGACUCUUUGUACAUUCCAAAAAUGUUUUGAAUUAGAAGUCACAAGGAGGGUUCAGUGAUAAAGUAUGUCUAACAUCACCUUAUCCACUCACCUGUAGACAAGACAGGUGAGGACUCUGAAUGAUGCUGACAUGAAGAUAAUUACAGAGACUCCCAUCUGAAUCCAAGCUUUCAGUUUUCUAGGUUGUAUUCAUUUCAUCACUGAUCGAAUGAUUGACAGCAACAAUAAGAGGAAGGAUUUAAUUGGCUCAAAGUUCAAGGGAUAUCAGUCCAUUAUGAAGGUGAAACAGGAAUCUAUGGCUAUGUGUGUAGUGGAAGGAACUUUGGCCUGUUCAUGACAACCCAGAAGCAAAGAGCAGAGGGCCAAGAGCAAGGACAAUGUUGGAAACAAAGCAAGAAUUCUAUAAGAAGAAUCUACAGGCUGAAGAUGCUCUGCUCAAGUUUUUGCAGUCCAAGGAGAAUGUGACUGACACAAUUCUACAGGGAUCCACAAAGGAACAAGCUGGACUACUAGAGGAGGGAUUCCAGCAGGAAAUAAAAAAAAACUUGAGGAUGAAAAGAAGUAUCUCCGGAAAGGAAACUGAACCACAGAUGGCAUUGUAAGCUAAGGGUCUAAGAAUAACGCCAUUCUGCCACUCAAACAGAGCUGAACAGGGUCACAUCAAUUGAUAAUGAUUGGGUCCUCCAUCAGAAAACUAAAAAUCUGGAAAGAUGUGCAGUGUGAUCAUUGAAAUCCUGUUUAUCUUCUUAUAAGAUUGUGCUCCAAGAAUAUCAUUGACAUCUCUACCACAAGAGAGGCGUCAACAGGGCUACUCAGAAGAAAGUCCCUUUUCCAGAUAAUCACCAGGAGACAAAUAGACACUGAUCACAGUCUGUUUUAAAAAAUAAUUUAUUUAUUUUUAUUGUUUUAUGUGUGUCAGUGUUUUGCCUGCAUGUAUGUCCAUGUGGGGGUGACAGACCUUGGAGUUAUAGACAGUCAUGAGCUGCCAUAUGGGUGCUGGGAUUUGAACCCAGGUUCUCUGGAAGAGCAGUGCUCUUUAACCUCUGAGAUAUUUCUUCAGCCCCAUACUGAGCACAUUCUUAAAUGGUGGCACACAAUUAGGAACCAAGUUGUCCAGGGAUGUGAUGGCUCUGAAAGACAGGGAAAGCCAGCCUCAUUUGUUUUGGAGACAAUAUAAAGUUCUGGAUUAUAUCAAAAGUGCUCAACCUUUCAGCAAUGGCAUGAUUUGUGGACACUGGCAAUGAGCAACCCUAUCAAUACACUCCAUCAUAAAUCAAGACAGCUGCAUGGAGAUCUAGAGUACCCAUAUACAAUAUCCACAGGAAGAUGGAAGAAGCCAUUAGCAUGGCAAGGAACUGCUCCACUGUUGAAGAAGGAAAUAUUCCAGUUCAUAUGGAUGGAAACUGUAACAGGACAUUUCCAAACUCUAAGGGUUGACACGGACUACAUAGUAAUACGAUGACAACUAAGCACAAUGUAUAGCUUAUGUACUUAUGUAUAAACUAUACAUAAGUAUGUGUUAUGUAUACUUCAUAUAUAAAAAUACAUAACUUUAAAAGGGCUUUAAAUGGUGCUGGGUAACCUAUAGAUAUCAAAGGAAUUUUAAUUAUUUAUCUUUAAUUAUAAACUUACACUACUCUUUGUCCUAUUAUUAGCAACUAUACUUGAAAUCCUGUUGAUUUUCCCCAAGCAUAAUAAAGAUUCUUCUCUGUAUUUUGACCAGCUCUCAUUUCAU
Molecule: long non-coding RNA, 2232 nt
Filed under: Cricetulus griseus (Chinese hamster)
Lineage: Eukaryota; Metazoa; Chordata; Mammalia; Rodentia; Cricetidae
Description: lncRNA (ENSCGRG00015036041.1)
Source: RNAcentral